RNAcentral lists this transfer RNA (74 nucleotides) under Candidatus Competibacteraceae bacterium. RNAcentral describes it as "tRNA-Ala". It matches the Rfam family "tRNA". From Rfam's summary of the family: Transfer RNA (tRNA) molecules are approximately 80 nucleotides in length. Their secondary structure includes four short double-helical elements and three loops (D, anti-codon, and T loops). Lineage: Bacteria; Pseudomonadati; Pseudomonadota; Gammaproteobacteria; Candidatus Competibacteraceae. The record is from RNAcentral.
GGGGGUAUAGCUCAGCUGGCUAGAGCGGUAGCUUUGCAAGCUAUAGGUCUGGGGUUCGAAUCCCCAUACCUCCA